CACCUGGUGUUUUUCAACACCACCCUUCUGACCGAGAAAUUCUUCGU
Molecule: non-coding RNA, 47 nt
Organism: Aphanomyces invadans
Lineage: Eukaryota; Oomycota; Saprolegniomycetes; Saprolegniales; Verrucalvaceae
Source: Rfam